RNAcentral lists this ribosomal RNA (527 nucleotides) under uncultured crenarchaeote. RNAcentral's name for it is "bacterial SSU rRNA". It matches the Rfam family "Archaeal small subunit ribosomal RNA", at positions 352 to 883 of the family's 1478-position model. Lineage: Archaea; Thermoproteati; Thermoproteota. The record is from RNAcentral.
GCAUGCACGAAAGUGUGACAGGGCUAUCCCGAGUGCCAUCCGCUGAGGAAGGCUUUUACCCAGUCUAGAACGCUGGGGGAAUAAGGAGAGGGCAAGUCUGGUGUCAGCCGCCGCGGUAAUACCAGCUCUCCGAGUGGUGUGGAUGUUUAUUGGGCCUAAAGCAUCCGUAGCUGGCUAAGUUAGUCCCUUGUUAAAUCCACCGAAUUAAUCGUUGGAUUGCGGGGGAUACUGCUUGGCUAGGGGACGAGAGAGGCAGACGGUAUUUCCGGGGUAGGGGUGAAAUCCUAUAAUCCCGGGAAGACCACCAGUGGCGAAGGCUGUCUGCUAGAACGCGCCCGACGGUGAGGGAUGAAAGCUGGGGGAGCGAACCGGAUUAGAUACCCGGGUAGUCCCAGCUGUAAACGAUGCAAACUAAGUGUUUGAACGGCCACGUGCCGUUCUAGUGCCGCAGGGAAGCUGUUAAGUUUGCCGCCUGGGGAGUACGAUCGCAAGAUUGAAACUUAAAGGAAUUGGCGGGGGGGAGCACA